Musca domestica (house fly) is the source of this 1285-nucleotide long non-coding RNA. RefSeq lists it as uncharacterized. Lineage: Eukaryota; Metazoa; Arthropoda; Insecta; Diptera; Muscidae. The transcript is spliced from 3 exons. The record is from RefSeq and is a predicted model, not a curated record.
CGGCAAUCUGAAAAAAGGAAUUUGUUUUGGUUGUGUUCAAAGAAGUCUUUAAAAGGCAACUGAGUACAAAGUUAACAUUUGUGGUAUAGGGUCUCCGUGCUGUUCAUUGCGAAAGUUUUAUUACUUUAUUGUGACUUCUGACUGCUUCUUUCAGAAUUCUAUACUUCACGAGAUAAAUACCUCCAAAAAAUUUGCUUUGCCUAAUCACUUUAAAGUAUUCUAAAUAAUAAAAUUUGUAAUAAUGCUAACGAGGCCCGAUUUCUCUUAUUACAAACCAUCUAAAUGUUAAGCGGGGUAAAUUUCAAGAAUUUCGAGAAAAGGAAUUCCGAUAUACCUUAUUGAAAUUCAGCAAAUAUAUAUUUUUUUUAAAUUAAAAGGUAAUAAACAUAUUCGUUACAUGAAGAAAAAUAAUCUAUUUUGUUGUUUUAAUAAGCAAUAUUCAAAGGCUACAAUGAUGUACAAUUAUAUAUUCGCGUUCAAGAUCCCAAGAGGUAUUUUUGGUAAUAUGAUCGUUGAGGGUGUCCUAAACCAUACAAAAGAAUGAUCUAUAGUAGGAAUUAAAAUUAUUUAUGCAAGUAAAAUCCUUUCCAUGGUAAAAAGGAUAUAAAUUCAUUGAAAAUUAGAAAAAUAUAUGGUCGAAUAUAAGACAGCAAAUCAUGAAUUGUAAAUGCAGGCUGGAAGAGUAUCAUUCCUUAAAAAAAGUAAAUAAAUCGAUCAAAGGGUAAAAUAUAAACAUCAAAAUAUAUGAUUGAUAAGGAAACAAUCACAAUAGUAAUAAUGCAAAAUCACGCGUCACAACAUAUGUAUGUACGUAUUCAUACAUACAUUGGUAUCUAAUAUAAAAUAAUUCUGCAAAACAGACACACACAAAUAUGUAUGUACAUUGAUGCCAGGGUCAAAGUACAAAGUUAUGAAGAAACAUUUGCGAAAUUUUUGACUUGAAAUUUAGAAUACAAAUCGAAUUAGCAGAUAAUAGCACAAAAAUUAACAACAAUCGAAAAGGUGCCUAUAACUAAGCAGACACUAUUAUUAAAGGAGUUCAAAAAUAAUAUAAAAAUAAGAUUGAUGCCUUUUCAAGUUGAAUUCACGAUGGUCUUAAUUUACACACACAUAUACGUUUGCUAAAAUAUUGCACGUAGCUGUAGGUCCAAAUCUCUCAACACUUCAAGCAAUCGCUAGAAAAUCGUGAAAAACAACAUCUCUUUUAAAUUAAAACCAAAAAAAAGUUUAUACCUAUUGUAUCUCAAGAAAUGAAAUUUAAUCAUAAAACGUCAAAUCGAAUUUG